Molecule: microRNA, 22 nt
Filed under: Macaca mulatta (Rhesus monkey)
Lineage: Eukaryota; Metazoa; Chordata; Mammalia; Primates; Cercopithecidae
Also listed under: 5 other names
Description: Mml-Mir-134_3p* (star (passenger))
Source: RNAcentral
CUGUGGGCCACCUAGUCACCAA